This 468-nucleotide ribosomal RNA is filed under the name uncultured bacterium. Its description in RNAcentral is "partial 16S ribosomal RNA". It matches the Rfam family "Bacterial small subunit ribosomal RNA", at positions 28 to 507 of the family's 1533-position model. The record is from RNAcentral.
GACGAACGCUGGCGGCGUGCUUAACACAUGCCAGUCGAACGGAAAGGCCCUGCUUUUGUGGGGUGCUCGAGUGGCGAACGGGUGUGUAACACGUGAGUAACCUGCCCUUGACUUUGGGAUAACUUCAGGAAACUGGGGCUAAUACCGGAUAGGAGCUCCUGCUGCAUGGUGGGGGUUGGAAAGUUUCGGCGGUUGGGGAUGGACUCGCGGCUUAUCAGCUUGUUGGUGGGGUAGUGGCUUACCAAGGCUUUGACGGGUAGCCGGCCUGAGAGGGUGACCGGCCACAUUGGGACUGAGAUACGGCCCAGACUCCUACGGGAGGCAGCAGUGGGGAAUAUUGCAAAAUGGGCGGAAGCCUGAUGCAGCAACGCCGCGUGCGGGAUGACGGCCUUCGGGUUGUAAACCGCUUUCGCCUGUGACGAAGCGUGAGUGACGGUAAUGGGUAAAGAAGCACCGGCUAACUACGUG